RNAcentral lists this small nucleolar RNA (79 nucleotides) under Mus musculus (house mouse). RNAcentral's name for it is "predicted gene, 25156 (ENSMUSG00000119550.1)". It matches the Rfam family "Small nucleolar RNA SNORD115". From Rfam's summary of the family: HBII-52 is a member of the C/D class of snoRNAs, which contain the C (UGAUGA) and D (CUGA) box motifs. Lineage: Eukaryota; Metazoa; Chordata; Mammalia; Rodentia; Muridae. The record is from Rfam by way of RNAcentral.
GGGCCAAUGAUGACAACCAAAUGUCAUGAAGAAAUGUGAUGACAUAAAAUUCAUGCUCAAUAGGAUUACGCUGAGGUCC